This 468-nucleotide ribosomal RNA is filed under the name uncultured bacterium. RNAcentral's name for it is "partial 16S ribosomal RNA". It matches the Rfam family "Bacterial small subunit ribosomal RNA", at positions 28 to 507 of the family's 1533-position model. The record is from RNAcentral.
GACGAACGCUGGCGGCGUGCUUAACACAUGCAAGUCGAACGGAAAGGCCCUGCUUUUGUGGUGUGCUCGAGUGGCGAACGGGUGAGUAACACGUGAGUAACCUGCCCUUGACUUUGGGAUAACUUCAGGCAACUGGGGCUAAUACCGGAUAGGAGCUCCUGCUGCAUGGUGGGGGUUGGAAAGUUUCGGCGGUUGGGGAUGGACUCGCGGCUUAUCAGCUUGUUGGUGGGGUAGUGGCUUACCAAGGCUUUGACGGGUAGCCGGCCUGAGAGGGUGACCGGCCACAUUGGGACCGAGAUACGGCCCAGACUCCUACGGGAGGCAGCAGUGUGGAAUAUUGCACAAUGGGUGGAAGCCUGAUGCAGCAACGCCGCGUGCGGGAUGACGGCCUUCGGGUUGUAAACCGCUUUCGCCUGUGACGAAGCGUGAGUGACGGUAAUGGGUAAAGAAGCACCGGCUAACUACGUG